AUUGAACGCUGGCGGCAUGCUUUACACAUGCAAGUCGAACGGCAGCGGGGGCUUCGGUCCGCCGGCGAGUGGCGAACGGGUGAGUAAUGCAUCGGAACGUGCCCAGUCGUGGGGGAUAACACAUCGAAAGAUGUGCUAAUACCGCAUACGUCCUGAGGGAGAAAGCGGGGGAUCUUCGGACCUCGCGCGAUUGGAGCGGCCGAUGUCGGAUUAGCUAGUUGGUGGGGUAAAGGCCCACCAAGGCGACGAUCCGUAGCGGGUCUGAGAGGAUGAUCCGCCACACUGGGACUGAGACACGGCCCAGACUCCUACGGGAGGCAGCAGUGGGGAAUAUUGGACAAUGGGCGCAAGCCUGAUCCAGCAAUGCCGCGUGAGUGAUGAAGGCCUUAGGGUUGUAAAGCUCUUUCGCACGCGACGAUGAUGACGGUAGCGUGAGAAGAAGCCCCGGCUAACUACGUGCCAGCAGCCGCGGUAAGUCA
This 479-nucleotide ribosomal RNA is filed under the name uncultured bacterium. RNAcentral describes it as "bacterial SSU rRNA". It matches the Rfam family "Bacterial small subunit ribosomal RNA", at positions 29 to 527 of the family's 1533-position model. The record is from RNAcentral.